AGUGAACGCUGGCGGUAGGCCUAACACAUGCAAGUCGAACGGCAGCACAGUAAGAGCUUGCUCUUACGGGUGGCGAGUGGCGGACGGGUGAGGAAUACAUCGGAAUCUACUUUUUCGUGGGGGAUAACGUAGGGAAACUUACGCUAAUACCGCAUACGACCUACGGGUGAAAGCAGGGGAUCUUCGGACCUUGCGCGAUUGACUGAGCCGAUGUCGGAUUAGCUAGUUGGCGGGGGAAAGGCCCACCAAGGCGACGAUCCGUAGCGGGUCUGAGAGGAUGAUCGGCCACACUGGAACUGAGACACGGUCCAGACUCCUACGGGAGGCAGCAGUGGGGAAUAUUGGACAAUGGGCGCAAGCCGGAUCCAGCCAUACCGCGUGGGUGAAGAAGGCCUUCGGGUUGUAAAGCCCUUUUGUUGGGAAAGAAAAGCAGCAGGUUAAUACCCCGCUGUUCUGACGGUACCCAAAGAAUAAGCACCGGCUAACUUCGUG
RNAcentral lists this ribosomal RNA (492 nucleotides) under uncultured bacterium. Its description in RNAcentral is "partial 16S ribosomal RNA". It matches the Rfam family "Bacterial small subunit ribosomal RNA", at positions 29 to 507 of the family's 1533-position model. The record is from RNAcentral.